Molecule: ribosomal RNA, 491 nt
Filed under: uncultured bacterium
Lineage: Bacteria
Description: partial 16S ribosomal RNA
Rfam family: Bacterial small subunit ribosomal RNA
Source: RNAcentral
AGUGAACGCUGGCGGUAGGCCUAACACAUGCAAGUCGAACGGCAGCACAGUAAGAGCUUGCUCUUACGGGUGGCGAGUGGCGGACGGGUGAGGAAUACAUCGGAGUCUACUUUUUCGUGGGGGAUAACGUAGGGAAACUUACGCUAAUACCGCAUACGACCUACGGGUGAAAGCAGGGGAUCUUCGGACCUUGCGCGAUUGAAUGAGCCGAUGUCGGAUUAGCUAGUUGGCGGGGUAAAGGCCCACCAAGGCGACGAUCCGUAGCUGGUCUGAGAGGAUGAUCAGCCACACUGGAACUGAGACACGGUCCAGACUCCUACGGGAGGCAGCAGUGGGGAAUAUUGGACAAUGGGCGCAAGCCUGAUCCAGCCAUACCGCGUGGGUGAAGAAGGCCUUCGGGUUGUAAAGCCCUUUUGUUGGGAAAGAAAAGCAGCAGGUUAAUACCCCGCUGUUCUGACGGUACCCAAAGAAUAAGCACCGGCUAACUUCGU